This 459-nucleotide ribosomal RNA is filed under the name Triticum aestivum (bread wheat). RNAcentral describes it as "partial small subunit ribosomal RNA". The record is from RNAcentral. Lineage: Eukaryota; Viridiplantae; Streptophyta; Magnoliopsida; Poales; Poaceae.
AUGGCCGAGCAAGCAAGCCAGCCGCCCACCGCCCGCUUGGACGCGCACCAACCGCCGCCACGCCUCCAUGCCCUGCUGGCCACAGCCCUCGCCGCCGGACGAGCCGCCAACGCCAGAUCCGGCAGGAUCAGACUGGGACCGCCCCGCACGAACCGCCCGAAGGACGAAGCUCCGCCUCCACCACACAGCCGCGGCGGCACCGACGAGCACCCACGCCACCAGCGUCGCAACCCGCAGCCCCGCCGCCGCGCCCCGCUGGAUCCGCAGCACCCCGCGCCGCCGGAGACAGACGGGGAGGAGAGAGCCCCCGCCGCCACCCAGGCCAACCAGGCUUCGCCCGGCGGCCCGCGCGGGUGGCGGAGAAGGGCGGAGUCGAGGGGGGCCGGGGAAGAAGAGGCCCGCCCGGCCACCGCGGGGUUGCGGCGUGGACGAGUGGGAGGGCGGACACGCGAGACCUAA